CACGCCGUAAACGAUGAGUGCUAGGUGUCGGGUGUCAAAGCUCGGUGCCGAAGUUAACACAUUAAGCACUCCGCCUGGGGAGUACGUGCGCAAGCAUGAAACUCAAAGGAAUUGACGGGGACCCGCACAAGCAGCGGAGCAUGUGGUUUAAUUCGAAGCAACGCGAAGAACCUUACCAGGACUUGACAUAUACGUGAAUACGUUAGAGAUAGCGUAGUCUUUUCGGAGACACGUAUACAGGUGG
This 244-nucleotide ribosomal RNA is filed under the name uncultured Eubacteriales bacterium. RNAcentral describes it as "uncultured Clostridiales bacterium partial 16S ribosomal RNA". It matches the Rfam family "Bacterial small subunit ribosomal RNA", at positions 796 to 1041 of the family's 1533-position model. Lineage: Bacteria; Bacillati; Bacillota; Clostridia; Eubacteriales. The record is from RNAcentral.